UAUGGGACACGCGUCCAUCUUUCACGGUUUCUUCUCUCUCUCUUCUCUCUUUCUGUCUCGGCUUGAAAAAAAGAAAUCAGAGAGUUGCGAUUGAUCUCUCCGGCUUCGUUCUUCACCUUUCAUCGCGAUGAAUCAGUCGGUUACGUGUAUCGACUCUGCGCCUUUCUUUCGCCUCUCCGCCUCCGCCUCCGCCUGUAAUAACCCUCAUGAGCCAAUAAAUUUUUGGUCGAGAAAAAUCCCGAUCGACCAGUUUUUAGUUGGUUCAACAAGGAUUAAUAAAAAUAAAGAUCGACCUGGUAGAUUAAUUCCUCGAAGGGACUGUCUUGUGGUUGAAAGACCUUCACUUGAUAGUUUGGUCGAGUCUUAAAUAUUUUGGUCGAAUUUUUAUUAAACUGGAAGAGAUUUUCCGAGAACAAGACGAGAGCCAAAGACAAGGAAUAUUUGGUUGAACAAUUAUUGAAAAUUAUCAACCAACUGCUAAAAUUAAUUUUGGACCAGACUCAUGUCUUCCACCAGCCUGCUUGCUCAGUCUUUAAUCACAUGACUUGCACCUGCCUGCUUGCCUAGCUUCUUCAGUAACUGUCACAUGACAAUCACAAGCUGCCUGCUUGCCUUGUUUCUUAGAUUGUCAUGUGAGAAGCACAUGAAAGGGCUGGAGUUUCUUCAGGUUAAGGAAAGGACAGCAGCUUGUGCUGAGAGUGCUGAAACAGCUGGCCAGCUGUCCCCACUCAGCUUAGCUUUGUCCUGAGUGAAACCCUCACCUGAAGCAAGCUCACCUCAUAUUUAACCUCUCCUCCAGCUGCUUCCCACGUUCUGAAACCUCAGAAAAAUACACAAAAUUUUCAGAGAGAAAGAGAGAAAGAAGAAGAGAAAAUCAGUGAGAAAAUCAGGAAAUAAAAUCAAGAAAAAAAUUGUUGGUGAUUUGAUCUUCACCCCUAGCUCAGUCAGUUGCUGUGAGAAAGAUCAGAAGCCACAAUCUAAUCUUGGAGAAGAGGAUCAGCUGAGGCCAUCUAGUCCUUUGGUUCAUCUUGUUUCAGGUAAGAGGUGGAGUAAGGCCUUAGGUAUCCAACCAGUUCCAAGACUAAUCUCUUAGGUAACCCUUAGGCGGGAGACACUUUGCUCUUUUGGACGGAAGGAGCGGCCAACCAGCGG
This is a long non-coding RNA of Brassica napus (rape), 1152 nucleotides long. RefSeq lists it as uncharacterized. The transcript is spliced from 4 exons. The record is from RefSeq and is a predicted model, not a curated record. NCBI's taxonomy places the organism in Eukaryota, Viridiplantae, Streptophyta, Magnoliopsida, Brassicales, Brassicaceae.